RNAcentral lists this ribosomal RNA (615 nucleotides) under Calythea comis. RNAcentral describes it as "partial small subunit ribosomal RNA". The stretch from base 403 to 474 matches the Rfam family "tRNA". The record is from RNAcentral. Lineage: Eukaryota; Metazoa; Arthropoda; Insecta; Diptera; Anthomyiidae.
UAGUUAUGUUCUUGAAACUUAAAAAAUUUGGCGGUAUUUUAGUCUAUUCAGAGGAACCUGUUCUAUAAUCGAUAAUCCACGAUGGACCUUACUUAAAUUUGUAAUCAGUUUAUAUACCGUCGUUAUUAGAAUAUUUUAUAAGAAUGUUAAUUUUCAAAAUUUUUAAAAAGAAAAUAUAUCAGAUCAAGGUGUAGCUUAUAUUUAAGUAGAAAUGGGUUACAAUAAAUUUAUUUAAACGAAUAUAAAUUUGAAAUAUUUAUUGAAGGUGGAUUUGAUAGUAAAAUUAUAAAGAUUAAUAAUUUGAUUUUAGCUCUAAAAUAUGCACACAUCGCCCGUCACUCUUAUUAUUAAGGUAAGAUAAGUCGUAACAUAGUAGAUGUACUGGAAAGUGUACCUAGAAUGCAAUUUAAAGCUUAUUAAGUAAAGCAUUUCAUUUACAUUGAAAAGAUUUUUGUGCAAAUCAAUAUAAAUUGAUUAUAUUUUAUUUAUUAAAUUUAUUAUUUUAUUAUUUAAUUUAUUAAAAGUAAUUAUAAAAUUAUUAGUUUUAGUAUUUAAUAAAGAAAAAAUAAUUUUAAUUAUAGUUAAAUAGUAUUGUGAAAGAAAAUUGAAAUAAUU